AGAGUGAACGCUGGCGGCAUGCCUAACACAUGCAAGUCGAACGGUAACAGGCCCGCAAGGGUGCUGACGAGUGGCGGACGGGUGAGGAAUACAUCGGAAUUUGCCCUGUCGUGGGGGAUAACGUAGGGAAACUUACGCUAAUACCGCAUACGACCUAACGGUGAAAGGGGGGGAUCGCAAGACCUCCCGCGGUUGGAUAAGCCGAUGUCAGAUUAGCUAGUUGGCGGGGUAAGAGCCCACCAAGGCGACGAUCUGUAGCUGGUCUGAGAGGAUGAUCAGCCACACUGGGACUGAGACACGGCCCAGACUCCUACGGGAGGCAGCAGUGGGGAAUAUUGGACAAUGGGGGCAACCCUGAUCCAGCAAUGCCGCGUGUGUGAAGAAGGCCUUCGGGUUGUAAAGCACUUUUAUCAGGACGAAACGCCGACGGUUAAUAACCAGCGGAACUGACGGUACCUGAGGAAUAAGCACCGGCUAACUUCGUGCCAGCAGCCGC
RNAcentral lists this ribosomal RNA (496 nucleotides) under uncultured bacterium. RNAcentral's name for it is "SSU rRNA". It matches the Rfam family "Bacterial small subunit ribosomal RNA", at positions 26 to 518 of the family's 1533-position model. The record is from RNAcentral.